This is a non-coding RNA of Phasianus colchicus (ring-necked pheasant), 2829 nucleotides long. The record is from RefSeq and is a predicted model, not a curated record. Lineage: Eukaryota; Metazoa; Chordata; Aves; Galliformes; Phasianidae.
GUCUGGUGAUCCUGCACAUAGCAGGGGUCCUUUUCAGCCCAGGCCAUUCUAUGAUUUUAUGCUCUGCCAGCAACACCUGACACGCUGAUGGAUUCAGCUCUUCCCACUCAGUGUAGCAGUAUCUGCCAGCUUUAAAAGCUGACCAACCACAACAGGUGAUAGCACCACUGUGUGUGAUUGCCUCACAGCACAUGACAUUCAGCCCGAAAACAGGAGGCCUGUUACCUGGAGCCCCCAGUCCAGGUGAGGGUCAAAGUCACAUCUCCCAACUCCUUAGGAAGUGCCUCAGUGCCUACAUAGUGCCUACAUAUUGGGAUGGCCUCACCCUCCUGAAGCUGCACCUCCAUCUGAGCCAGUAGGCCACAUACAUGGAAGCACUGGCUUCCUUCUUGUGUACAAAAGGCUUAUGUAGAAUUCAGCACUGAUUGGUUAGACCAUUUGGGUCAUGGUGAGCACAAGAGUUGCUGGGAUUCUUCACCAGGUCUAAGCAUCCCAACACUGCCUUGCCUGCCCAUCUUCUCUGCUGGCUCUGUCAGAGGUUCUAUCCACCUCAGCCUCUGAGAGCACACCUUUAGCCACACAAAUGAGAAGAAAUGCUACAAGUAUAUGAAGGUUUGCUAUAAUAGCAGGACGUUAAUUUUCCUCAAGGGAGCAGAGUGCUAAGACCUAAACAUGUAUGCCAGCUUAGCAAAAUAAAAUAAAAUAAAGGGGGGUGGGGGGAAGAGGGAAUGAAAAGAAAGAAUGGAAGAAUAAACAUUCCUACAUGGAAGUAAGCAUGCAUUUUAAAAUAAUUACUGGCACUGCUUACGGUCCUGGCUUUCUUUUAUGUCUGCAAACAUCAUCUAAUACAUAAGAAAUGAAUAAACAAAAAUUCAGAUACAUUAAACUGCCCAGGGUGUACAGCACAUUUUAUAGAACACUUUCAGUUGUGACAUAUUUGAAGCUACCUUACACUCUCGAUUCACUACAUGCUCAAGUUAUCUGCCAUAGGCACGCAGCUGAGUGCCAGAUAAGACUUUUGGAGAGGAGGUGAAUGCUUUCUUUGAUGCUUCUGGGUCAAAGUUCUGGGCUCCCAAAGAAUGGGGGGCAACACACAAUGUUUUGCCCUGAUGGUCCCAUCAGUUACUAAUAGAUCACAAACAGAUUCCUCUAAUAUGGGAGUGAGCUGAGCAACCUGGCUCGCUGUCCCAAGAACCCACUCAGUAAAACAAGUGCUGCUGGCUGCACUAACAGUGCAUGAGGAGUGAGGAUGGUGCACAGGCUGAAGGGCUUCACCAUUACUGGGGAAGUCACAAGUAUUGCCUUUCUGAACAAGUUUUGGACAGUGUUUGAGACUCCCCCACCCCUAGAGAAGCUUUGUACAGAAUGUAGAUGGCCAGGACAUUCAGGCAUUGCUACCAGCUUUUAGAGAAGCACAGUGGUUGCUGACUCAUUGCAGUAAAUGUUUAGGGGAUACCUAAAUAGCCUCUGAUACCAUCAUUCAACUGUGCCUAUACCCCAACAGUUAAAGCACCUGAGAGGCUGGUAACAGCCCAGACUAACGCAUACAUGACAAGAACAAAACUAAGAACUGUAGUUUAGUAUUGCUAUGGGACCAUCUUCGAGAACAUGGAAAGGACAUAAGAGGCCAUACGGAAAAAUCCAUCCCGGGUUUUUACUGCUGAAAGCUAAGCCCUCCCAAGAGACCCCACGAAUGCACUAAAAGCUCUAGGUAUUUCAUUUCACUUAGAGUUUCACCAUCUCAGCCAGACUGCUAAUAACUUUACAUAAAAAGUCAAUUAAUUAACUGUCUGCAAUGAAAUGCAUCUAAGGAUUCUGUGUUUUAAAUCAAGUGGAGAAAUGAUACAAUUAAAGCACUCUUGCCAUAUUUAGGAACUUCUAAAAAACGCCGCUGUGCAAUUUUGGUGCAUGUGGAACGAUUUCACAGCACAGGAAGCUCCACCAUCGUCUUUUCGAGUGCAAAAGCACAAAGUUGGCAAAACGCGUUAUCUCGCUGGGGCACGCAGUGUGCGGUGCUGGCCCGAGCGCGCUGACACUGAGAGCACCCGCAGCCUCCCGCCGCUCUCGCCCGCCCCGCGGCAUGACCCGCACCGGGGCUCGGGCAGACACCUGCUCGCUCACCCCGCGGCCGUCUAGCCUCCCUUCCACCUCGAUCUUCCAGCUGGGGAGCUUGCGGGGAGCUAGGAACGCCGUCGCCCAGGUACCCUGCCUCUCCCAGCGAGGACUAACAGCUCGUUUUCGCUUCAAGUUUCCCGGCCCCUCACUGUGACGCUCCGAGAGAUGACCUUCCGCGGGGGGCGGCGACCGUCGGGCGCACAGCCGCGGCAGGGGUGUCCGGCUUUGGGGGCUCCACGCCGAGGAUGGGGCCACGGGCGGGGUCCCGCCGGACACUAAGCCCCAACCUCGCUCUCGCAAAGCUCGAGCGGACCUGUUGCCGCCGGGCUCGGCGCACCUCCGGCCGCUGAACUGAUAGGGCGCGCCAGCCCUCUUCGUUUCCCCCACUGACUGUAGGAGCUGGGUCUCGGCAAGAGUCUGGCACAGAGCCGUGGGCGACACGACCCAGCUCGCAGUCGAGCUCGGUCGUCUCCGCGUUCUCUUUGCGCAGCCGUGCGCACAGGAGAGCUCAGGCAGCGGAGCGCCCGCAGAGACAGCCACGGGGCCGGGAGCGGGACUCUCCACUCUGCGCUGACCCGUGCGCCCUGCCGCUCGCCCGAGCUCCAGAGAAUGAGCACCGAGCGUCGAGGAAGUUUCGUGCCCACGGGCGGUCCAGCUCUUCCUUUCCGAAGCGCGGCGGAGUGCCUUUCCCUGACGCAUCCUCCUCGGCUCCGA